This 200-nucleotide unclassified non-coding RNA is filed under the name Helotiales sp. Its description in RNAcentral is "partial internal transcribed spacer 2". Lineage: Eukaryota; Fungi; Ascomycota; Leotiomycetes; Helotiales. The record is from RNAcentral.
UUAAGUUCAGCGGGUAUCCCCACCUGAUCCGAGGUCAACCUUGAAAAGUAGAAGGUGUUAUCCGGCGGUCGAGGCCCGGCUUUGAAAACGCUGGAAAAUGAUCUCGCUGCGCUUAAAGACGGACGGCGACGCCGAUGAGUUUAAGGCGCGCCCGCAAGGGCGGCGCCCAAUACCAAGCAGAGCUUGAGUGUUGUAAUGAC